Molecule: long non-coding RNA, 268 nt
Filed under: Lathyrus oleraceus (garden pea)
Lineage: Eukaryota; Viridiplantae; Streptophyta; Magnoliopsida; Fabales; Fabaceae
Description: Pisum sativum (pea) long non-coding RNA (PSAT_LNC003018)
Source: RNAcentral
CUUAUUGUCUUAAGGUUUUUAGGUUGAGAUGUGGCGCUUCCCUCUCUUUUGAUCUUGGAGCAUUAUUCUCAUUGAUGCUCCUGACUCUCCCGAACUCCCCAACAGUGGUAUCAGAGUCUAGUUCAGCUUUGUGGGGAAAGCAGGAGCUAGAUUCGGUGUUGGGUCCUUUUAUAGGAUAUGGGGGACUCACACUUACGGGAGAGAAUAUUGGGUGCAAGUGUGAGUGUUUAAAACCCCACAUUGCCUAUGAAAGGGUGAAAUAUUGAUA